AAACUGGAAACCUCAGCCUCACUCUGAGGAAACCCCGCCUCUCUGACAGUGGAAACUACACCUGCACCAUCAGACCAGUUGGAGAGGAACCCAGACUGACAAACGUUCAGCUGCAGGUCAAAGAACCGUACACGUUCCCAACUGAAGCCACUGUUCUCCUGGUUCUUCUGGGUCUGGUUGCUGUUGUUGUUGUUGGUCUGGCUGUGUAUUUCUGGUUCUAUGUCAUCAGAGUCUCUAAGGUGGUGGUGGAGGUGGAGG
Molecule: long non-coding RNA, 258 nt
Organism: Lates calcarifer (barramundi perch)
Lineage: Eukaryota; Metazoa; Chordata; Actinopteri; Centropomidae
Exons: 3
Source: RefSeq, a predicted model, not a curated record